RNAcentral lists this unclassified non-coding RNA (279 nucleotides) under plant metagenome. Its description in RNAcentral is "partial contains small subunit ribosomal RNA, internal transcribed spacer 1, and 5.8S ribosomal RNA". The record is from RNAcentral.
UUUCCGUAGGUGAACCUGCGGAAGGAUCAUUAUUGUAUAACCGAGGCGCGAGGGCUGUCGCUGAGCCGACAGGCCGUGCACGCCCGAGUGUCCUCUCACACAUCCACCUCACACCCAUGUGCACAACCGCGCGGGUGACCAAUCGGCCAGUACGGUGGGGGGAUUCCGUCUCCACAGAAUUUUUGUAUGCAGUGUAGUUUGUAUUUUUUGUUUUUGCGAUCACGCAAUUAAUACAAAUUUUUACAACGGAUCUCUUGGCUUUCGCACCGAUGAAGAAAG